RNAcentral lists this ribosomal RNA (1376 nucleotides) under uncultured sulfur-oxidizing symbiont bacterium. Its description in RNAcentral is "partial 16S ribosomal RNA". It matches the Rfam family "Bacterial small subunit ribosomal RNA", at positions 28 to 1380 of the family's 1533-position model. The record is from RNAcentral.
AGCGAACGCUGGCGGCGUGCUUAACACAUGCAAGUCGAGCGAGAAAGGGGGCUUCGGCCCCUGAGUACAGCGGCGAACGGGUGCGUAAUACAUGAGCAAUCUACCCUUGAGGCGGGAAUAACCCAGCGAAAGUUGGGCUAAUACCGGAUAAGACCACAGGAGGAAACUCCAGAGGUCAAAGACAGCUCUCUUUUGGGGGCGGCCCUUUGAGGAGGAGCUUAUGUCCUAUCAGCUAGUUGGUGAGGUAACGGCUCACCGAGGCGAAGACGGGUAGCUGGUCUUAGAGGAUGAUCAGCCACACGGGGACUGAGACACGGCCCCGACUCCUACGGGAGGCAGCAGUGGGGAAUAUUGGACAAUGGGCGAAAGCCUGAUCCAGCAAUGCCGCGUGAGUGAAGAAGGCCUUCGGGUUGUAAAGCACUUUCAGUGGGGAGGAAAAGUUGCCGGCGAAUACCCGGCGACCGUGACGCUACCUGCAGAAGAAGCACCGGCAAACUCCGUGCCAGCAGCCGCGGUAAUACGGAGGGUGCGGGCGUUAAUCGGAAUUACUGGGCGUAAAGCGCGCGUAGGCGGCUUGUUAAGUCGGAUGUGAAAUCCCCGGGCUCAACCUGGGAACUGCAUCCGAUACUGGCUGGCUAGAGUGUGGUAGAGGGAAGUGGAAUUCCAGGUGUAGCGGUGAAAUGCGUAGAUAUCUGGGGGAACAUCAGUGGCGAAGGCGGCUUCCUGGACCAACACUGACGCUGAGGCGCGAAAGCGUGGGGAGCAAACAGGAUUAGAUACCCUGGUAGUCCACGCCGUAAACGAUGUCAACUAGCCGUAGGGAGCAUCUGGCUCUUUGUGGCGCAGCUAACGCGAUAAGUUGACCGCCUGGGGAGUACGGCCGCAAGGCUAAAACUCAAAUGAAUUGACGGGGGCCCGCACAAGCGGUGGAGCAUGUGGUUUAAUUCGAUGCAACGCGAAAAACCUUACCUGCCCUUGACAUGUCAGGAAUCUUUCAGAGAUGAGAGAGUGCCUUCGGGAACCUGAACACAGGUGCUGCAUGGCUGUCGUCAGCUCGUGUCGUGAGAUGUUGGGUUAAGUCCCGCAACGAGCGCAACCCUUGUCCUAUGUUGCCAGCACGUAAUGGUGGGGACUCGUAGGAGACCGCCGGGGUCAACUCGGAGGAAGGUGGGGACGACGUCAAGUCAUCAUGCCCCUUAUGUCCAGGGCUGCAAACAUGCUACAAUGGCCGGUACAAAGGGCUGCUAUCCCGCGAGGGUGAGCGAAUCCCAAAAAGCCGGUCUCAGUUCGGAUCGUAGUCUGCAACUCGACUGCGUGAAGCCGGAGUCGCUAGUAAUCCCGGAUCAGCUACGCCGGGGUGAAUACGUUCCCGGGCC